Molecule: ribosomal RNA, 407 nt
Filed under: uncultured bacterium
Lineage: Bacteria
Also listed under: 1 other name
Description: bacterial SSU rRNA
Rfam family: Bacterial small subunit ribosomal RNA
Source: RNAcentral
UGGGGAAUAUUGGGCAAUGGGGGAAACCCUGACCCAGCAACGCCGCGUGAAGGAAGAAGGUUUUCGGAUUGUAAACUUCUGUCCCAUGGGAAGAAGGAAGUGACGGUACCAUGGGAGGAAGCCCCGGCUAACUACGUGCCAGCAGCCGCGGUAAUACGUAGGGGGCAAGCGUUGUCCGGAAUUAUUGGGCGUAAAGGGUGCGUAGGCGGCCUUUCAAGUUGGAUGUGAAAUCCCCGUGCUUAACAUGGGAACUGCAUCCAAAACUGGAGGGCUUGAGUGUGGAAGAGGUAAGUGGAAUUCCCAGUGUAGCGGUGAAAUGCGUAGAUAUUGGGAGGAACACCAGUGGCGAAGGCGACUUACUGGGCCACAACUGACGCUGAGGCACGAAAGCGUGGGGAGCAAACAGG